UACCAGCUCUCCGAGUGGUGUGGAUGUUUAUUGGGCCUAAAGCAUCCGUAGCUGGCUGGGCAAGUCCCCUGUUAAAUCCACCGAUUUAAUCGUUGGUGUGCGGGGGAUACUGUUCGGCUAGGGGACGGGAGAGGCCGACGGUAUUUUCGGGGUAGGGGUGAAAUCCUAUAAUCCCGGGAAGACCACCAGUGGCGAAGGCUGUCGGCUAGAACGCGCCCGACGGUGAGGGAUGAAAGCUGGGGGAGUGAACCGGAUUAGAUACCCGGGUAGUCCCAGCUGUAAACGAUGCAGGCUAGGUGUUUGGGCGGCCACGUGCCGCUCUAGUGCCGCAGAGAAGUCGUUAAGCCUGCCGCCUGGGGAGUACGGCCGCAAGGCUGAAACUUAAAGGAAUUGGCGGGGGAGCACCACAAGGGGUGAAGCUUGCGGUUU
This 429-nucleotide ribosomal RNA is filed under the name uncultured archaeon. Its description in RNAcentral is "bacterial SSU rRNA". It matches the Rfam family "Archaeal small subunit ribosomal RNA", at positions 474 to 903 of the family's 1478-position model. The record is from RNAcentral.